This 253-nucleotide ribosomal RNA is filed under the name uncultured bacterium. Its description in RNAcentral is "partial 16S ribosomal RNA". It matches the Rfam family "Bacterial small subunit ribosomal RNA", at positions 524 to 776 of the family's 1533-position model. The record is from RNAcentral.
UACGUAGGGUGCAAGCGUUGUCCGGAAUUAUUGGGCGUAAAGAGCUCGUAGGCGGUUUGUCGCGUCGAAUGUGAAAACCCGGGGCUCAACUCCGGGCCUGCAUUCGAUACGGGCAGACUAGAGUUCGGUAGGGGAGACUGGAAUUCCUGGUGUAGCGGUGGAAUGCGCAGAUAUCAGGAGGAACACCGAUGGCGAAGGCAGGUCUCUGGGCCAUAACUGACGCUGAGAAGCGAAAGCAUGGGGAGCGAACAGG